UGGGGAAUAUUGCGCAAUGGGGGAAACCCUGACGCAGCGACGCCGCGUGAGCGAAGAAGGCCUUAGGGUUGUAAAGCUCUGUUUUAGGGGACGAAUGUCGUGGGGAGUAAUAUGACCUACGAAUGACGGUACCCUAAGAGGAAGCCCCGGCUAACUACGUGCCAGCAGCCGCGGUAAGACGUAGGGGGCGAGCGUUGUCCGGAAUUACUGGGCGUAAAGAGCACGUAGGCGGGAACUUAAGUCAGGUGUGAAAGACCGGGGCUCAACGCCGGGUGUGCACUUGAAACUGGGUUUCUUGAGGGCAGGAGAGGAAAGCAGAAUUCCUGGUGUAGCGGUGAAAUGCGUAGAAAUCAGGAGGAAUACCAGUGGCGAAGGCGGCUUUCUGGACUGACCCUGACGCUGAGGUGCGAAAGCGUGGGUAGCAAACAG
This 429-nucleotide ribosomal RNA is filed under the name uncultured bacterium. RNAcentral's name for it is "bacterial SSU rRNA". It matches the Rfam family "Bacterial small subunit ribosomal RNA", at positions 355 to 775 of the family's 1533-position model. The record is from RNAcentral.